GACGAACGCUGGCGGCGUGCCUAAUACAUGCAAGUAGAACGCUGAAGCGAGGAGCUUGCUCUUCUUGGAUGAGUUGCGAACGGGUGAGUAACGCGUAGGUAACCUGCCUUGUAGCGGGGGAUAACUAUUGGAAACGAUAGCUAAUACCGCAUAACAAUGGAUGACCCAUGUCAUUUAUUUGAAAGGGGCAAAUGCUCCACUACAAGAUGGACCUGCGUUGUAUUAGCUAGUAGGUGAGGUAACGGCUCACCUAGGCGACGAUACAUAGCCGACCUGAGAGGGUGAUCGGCCACACUGGGACUGAGACACGGCCCAGACUCCUACGGGAGGCAGCAGUAGGGAAGCUUCGGCAAUGGGGGCAACCCUGACCGAGCAACGCCGCGUGAGUGAAGAAGGUUGUCGGAUCGUAAAGCUCUGUUGUAAGUCAAGAACGAGGGUGAGAGUGGAAAGUUCACACUGUGACGGUAGCUGACCAGAAAGGGACGGCUAACUACGUG
Molecule: ribosomal RNA, 497 nt
Filed under: uncultured bacterium
Lineage: Bacteria
Description: partial 16S ribosomal RNA
Rfam family: Bacterial small subunit ribosomal RNA
Source: RNAcentral